UGCCAGCGGUCCGGCCGGGAACUCAAAGGAGACUGCCAGUGAUAAACUGGAGGAAGGUGGGGAUGACGUCAAGUCAUCAUGGCCCUUACGACCAGGGCUACACACGUGCUACAAUGGCGCAUACAAAGAGAAGCGACCUCGCGAGAGCAAGCGGACCUCAUAAAGUGCGUCGUAGUCCGGAUUGGAGUCUGCAACUCGACUCCAUGAAGUCGGAAUCGCUAGUAAUCGUGGAUCAGAAUGCCACGGUGAAUACGUUCCCGGGCCUUGUACACACCGCCCGUCACACCAUGGGAGUGGGUUGCAAAAGAAGUAGGUAGCUUAACCUUCGGGAGGGCGCUUACCACUUUGUGAUUCAUGACUGGGGUGAAGUCGUAACAAGGUAACCGUAGGGGAACCUGCGGUUGGAUCACCUCCUUACCUGAAAGAAGC
This 429-nucleotide ribosomal RNA is filed under the name Salmonella enterica subsp. enterica serovar Oranienburg. Its description in RNAcentral is "bacterial SSU rRNA". It matches the Rfam family "Bacterial small subunit ribosomal RNA", at positions 1116 to 1533 of the family's 1533-position model. RNAcentral also lists the same sequence under 1 other name. Lineage: Bacteria; Pseudomonadati; Pseudomonadota; Gammaproteobacteria; Enterobacterales; Enterobacteriaceae. The record is from RNAcentral.